AUUGAACGCUGGCGGCAGGCCUAACACAUGCAAGUCGAGCGGAUGAAGGGAGCUUGCUCCUGGAUUCAGCGGCGGACGGGUGAGUAAUGCCUAGGAAUCUGCCUGGUAGUGGGGGAUAACGUCCGGAAACGGGCGCUAAUACCGCAUACGUCCUGAGGGAGAAAGUGGGGGAUCUUCGGACCUCACGCUAUCAGAUGAGCCUAGGUCGGAUUAGCUAGUUGGUGGGGUAAAGGCCUACCAAGGCGACGAUCCGUAACUGGUCUGAGAGGAUGAUCAGUCACCUUGGAAGUGAGACACGGUCCAGACUCCUACGGGAGGCAGCAGUGGGGAAUAUUGGACAAUGGGGGAAAGCCUGAUCCAGCCAUGCCGCGUGUGUGAAGAAGGUCUUCGGAUUGUAAAGCACUUUAAGUUGGGAGGAAGGGCAGUAAGUUAAUACCUUGCUGUUUUGACGUUACCAACAGAAUAAGCACCGGCUAACUUCGUG
RNAcentral lists this ribosomal RNA (484 nucleotides) under uncultured bacterium. RNAcentral describes it as "partial 16S ribosomal RNA". It matches the Rfam family "Bacterial small subunit ribosomal RNA", at positions 30 to 507 of the family's 1533-position model. The record is from RNAcentral.